UUCGCAAUGCCCGAAAGGGUGACGAAGCGACGCCGCGUGUGGGAAGAAGGCCUUCGGGUUGUAAACCACUGUCGGGAGUUAAGAAAUACAAGGAUAUGAAUAGUGUCUUUGUUUGACUAAGGCUCCGGAGGAAGCCACGGCUAACUCUGUGCCAGCAGCCGCGGUAAUACAGAGGCGGCAAGCGUUGUUCGGAAUUAUUGGGCGUAAAGAGCACGUAGGCGGCUAUGUAAGUCGGUUGUGAAAGCCUUCCGCUCAACGGAAGAACAGCAUCCGAUACUACAUGGCUUGAGUGCGGGAGGGGAGAGUGGAACUUCUGGUGGAGCGGUGAAAUGCGUAGAUAUCAGAAGGAACGCCGGCGGCGAAAGCGGCUCUCUGGCCCAUAACUGACGCUGAGUGUGCAAAAGCUAGGGGAGCAAACGGGAUUAGAUACCCCGGUAGUCCUAGCCGUAAACGAUGGGCACUAAGUAGAGGGGUUUU
This 477-nucleotide ribosomal RNA is filed under the name uncultured bacterium. Its description in RNAcentral is "bacterial SSU rRNA". It matches the Rfam family "Bacterial small subunit ribosomal RNA", at positions 365 to 832 of the family's 1533-position model. The record is from RNAcentral.